GUGGGGAAUAUUGCACAAUGGGGGAAACCCUGAUGCAGCAACGCCGCGUGAGUGAAGAAGUAUUUCGGUAUGUAAAGCUCUAUCAGCAGGGAAGAAGAUGACGGUACCUGAGUAAGAAGCCCCGGCUAACUACGUGCCAGCAGCCGCGGUAAUACGUAGGGGGCAAGCGUUAUCCGGAUUUACUGGGUGUAAAGGGAGCGUAGACGGCGAUGCAAGUCUGAAGUGAAAGCCCGGGGCUCAACCCCGGGACUGCUUUGGAAACUGUAUAGCUAGAGUGCUGGAGAGGCAAGCGGAAUUCCUAGUGUAGCGGUGAAAUGCGUAGAUAUUAGGAAGAACACCAGUGGCGAAGGCGGCUUGCUGGACAGUAACUGACGUUGAGGCUCGAAAGCGUGGGGAGCAAACAGG
Molecule: ribosomal RNA, 405 nt
Filed under: bacterium
Lineage: Bacteria
Also listed under: 1 other name
Description: bacterial SSU rRNA
Rfam family: Bacterial small subunit ribosomal RNA
Source: RNAcentral